RNAcentral lists this ribosomal RNA (497 nucleotides) under uncultured bacterium. Its description in RNAcentral is "partial 16S ribosomal RNA". It matches the Rfam family "Bacterial small subunit ribosomal RNA", at positions 28 to 507 of the family's 1533-position model. The record is from RNAcentral.
GAUGAACGCUGGCGGCGUGCCUAAUACAUGCAAGUCGAGCGAACGGACGAGAAGCUUGCUUCUCUGAUGUUAGCGGCGGACGGGUGAGUAACACGCGGUUAACCUACCUAUAAGACUGGGAUAACUUCGGGAAACCGGAGCUAAUACCGGAUAAUAUUUUGAACCGCAUGGUUCAAAAGUGAAAGACGGUCUUGCUGUCACUUAUAGAUGGAUCCGCGCUGCAUUAGCUAGUUGGUAAGGUAACGGCUUACCAAGGCAACGAUGCAUAGCCGACCCGAGAGGGUGAUCGGACAGACUGUAACUGAGACAGGGCCCAGACUCCUACGGGAGGCAGCAGUAGGGAAUCUUCCGCGAUGGGCGAAAGCCUGACGGAGCAACGCCGCGUGAGUGAUGAAGGUCUUCGGAUCGUAAAACUCUGUUAUUAGGGGGGAACAUAUGUGUAAGUAACUGUGCACAUCUUGACGGUACCUAAUCAGAAAGCCACGGCUAACUACGUG